This 473-nucleotide ribosomal RNA is filed under the name uncultured bacterium. RNAcentral's name for it is "bacterial SSU rRNA". It matches the Rfam family "Bacterial small subunit ribosomal RNA", at positions 29 to 507 of the family's 1533-position model. The record is from RNAcentral.
AUUGAACGCUAGCGGCAUGCCUUACACAUGCAAGUCGAACGGCAGCACGGGGGCAACCCUGGUGGCGAGUGGCGAACGGGUGAGUAAUGCAUCGGAACGUGCCCAUCGAUGGGGGAGUAACUGCGCGAAAGCGUUGCUAAUACCGCAUACGACCUACGGGUGAAAGCAGGGGACCGCAAGGCCUUGCGUCGAUGGAGCGGCCGAUGCCGGAUUAGCUAGUUGGUGAGGUAAAGGCUCACCAAGGCGACGAUCCGUAGCUGGUCUGAGAGGACGACCAGCCACACUGGGACUGAGACACGGCCCAGACUCCUACGGGAGGCAGCAGUGGGAAUCUUGGACAAUGGGCGAAAGCCUGAUCCAGCAAUGCCGCGUGUGGAGAAGGCUCGGUUGUAACCACUUUGCGGAAGAAAUGGUCUGUGCUAAUACCACGGAUUGAUGACGGUACCCGCAGAAUAGCACCGGCUAACUACGUG